This is a non-coding RNA of Cinara cedri, 355 nucleotides long. The record is from the annotation of a GenBank genome assembly. NCBI's taxonomy places the organism in Eukaryota, Metazoa, Arthropoda, Insecta, Hemiptera, Aphididae.
AUAUUUUUUUCAAACCGCUCGCUCGCGUAAAAAUAUCAAAACUGAUUUUAAUAAAUUGAUAACAGAACUAUACGCACGAGUAUAUUAUGGAUACACACAUUCAUAUAAUAUUAUGUAGGUAGGUAUAGAGGUAAUUAUUUGAAAAAUUCUCAUUGAAGAUAAUAAUAAUAAUAAUACGGAAACAUUAUAAAAACACGGGUGACUCGUGUUGUUACCUGAAACCGCGUAGGUAUCUAAUAAUUUGUUAAAGAUGUUCGAAAGUUUUUUUUUUUUUUUUUUUUUUCUAAGCGGUUGUAUUCAUACUGUUACAUUUGGGUACAAUUUCAGUUCAAUUUUAGAACAUCCGUAAUAAUAU